UGAAAGCGGGGGACCGUAAGGCCUCGCGCUAUUGGGGCGGCCGAUGUCUGAUUAGCUAGUUGGCGGGGUAAAAGCCCACCAAGGCGACGAUCAGUAGCUGGUCUGAGAGGACGAUCAGCCACACUGGGACUGAGACACGGCCCAGACUCCUACGGGAGGCAGCAGUGGGGAAUUUUGGACAAUGGGGGCAACCCUGAUCCAGCAAUGCCGCGUGUGCGAAGAAGGCCUUCGGGUUGUAAAGCACUUUUGUCAGGGAAGAAAUCUUUCGGGCUAAUACCCCUGGAAGGAUGACGGUACCUGAAGAAUAAGCACCGGCUAACUACGUGCCAGCAGCCGCGGUAAUACGUAGGGUGCAAGCGUUAAUCGGAAUUACUGGGCGUAAAGCGUGCGCAGGCGGUUUGCUAAGACAGUUGUGAAAUCCCCGGGCUUAACCUGGGAACUGCAAUUGUGACUGGCAGGCUAGAGUACGGCAGAGGGGGGUGGAAUUCCUGGUGUAGCAGUGAAAUGCGUAGAG
RNAcentral lists this ribosomal RNA (514 nucleotides) under uncultured beta proteobacterium. RNAcentral describes it as "bacterial SSU rRNA". It matches the Rfam family "Bacterial small subunit ribosomal RNA", at positions 201 to 695 of the family's 1533-position model. Lineage: Bacteria; Pseudomonadati; Pseudomonadota; Betaproteobacteria. The record is from RNAcentral.